UGGAAAGAAAGACAAAUCUUAAGCAUGUUAAGAUUUGGGGUUGUGUGCUAAUAAGCAAUAUUUGUUUUGAUAACAAUCUUGUGGGAUAUCCUUAAAUUAACUUUUGGAUAUCGCUUCUAUAAACCAACAAACAAAUGUUGUUUUGUUGGGUAGUUCAAUGUAAUCCUACAAUGAUUUGCCUAAGAGCUAAUGAACGAGAGAUAGAACUCAAAAGAUGGGUUCUUUGAGAGACAAGAAAGUAAUCAACAAAUAUAACAACCUAGUUCCUAUACCAAAGGCUCCAAGGUA
This 288-nucleotide long non-coding RNA is filed under the name Malus domestica (apple). RNAcentral's name for it is "long non-coding RNA (MDOM_LNC008405)". The record is from RNAcentral. Lineage: Eukaryota; Viridiplantae; Streptophyta; Magnoliopsida; Rosales; Rosaceae.